This 63-nucleotide transfer RNA is filed under the name Cordylochernes scorpioides. RNAcentral's name for it is "tRNA-OTHER". It matches the Rfam family "tRNA". Rfam says of the family: Transfer RNA (tRNA) molecules are approximately 80 nucleotides in length. The record is from RNAcentral. Lineage: Eukaryota; Metazoa; Arthropoda; Arachnida; Pseudoscorpiones; Chernetidae.
UCCAGGGUAGCCUAGUGGACAUGGCAUCUGCCCACACUGUGGGUUCGAUUCCCAUCCUUGGAC